RNAcentral lists this transfer RNA (71 nucleotides) under Staphylococcus xylosus. RNAcentral describes it as "tRNA-Pro". It matches the Rfam family "tRNA". Rfam says of the family: Transfer RNA (tRNA) molecules are approximately 80 nucleotides in length. Their secondary structure includes four short double-helical elements and three loops (D, anti-codon, and T loops). Lineage: Bacteria; Bacillati; Bacillota; Bacilli; Caryophanales; Staphylococcaceae. The record is from RNAcentral.
CGGGAAGUAGCUCAGCUUGGUAGAGCCGGUUUGGGACCAAGGGGUCGCAGGUUCGAAUCCUGUCUUCCCGA